Molecule: transfer RNA, 64 nt
Filed under: Lethe diana
Lineage: Eukaryota; Metazoa; Arthropoda; Insecta; Lepidoptera; Nymphalidae
Description: tRNA-Val
Source: RNAcentral
CAAAUUAGAGCUUGUUAAAGUAUUUCAUUUACAUUGAAAAGAAAUUAAAAUUUAAUCAAUUUGA